UAACCCCGUACCAACGGGAAGAGGGCGGCCGUACCCAACGGUGAGAUUCCAUGACUGGGGUG
RNAcentral lists this ribosomal RNA (62 nucleotides) under uncultured bacterium. Its description in RNAcentral is "partial 16S ribosomal RNA". The record is from RNAcentral.